AGUGAACGCUGGCGGUAGGCCUAACACAUGCAAGUCGAACGGCAGCACCGUAAGAGCUUGCUCUUACGGGUGGCGAGUGGCGGACGGGUGAGGAAUACAUCGGAAUCUACUUUUUCGUGGGGGUUCACGUAGGGAAACUUACGAUAAUACCGCAUACGACGUACGGGUGAAAGCAGGGGAUCUUCGCACCUUGCGCGAUUGAAUGAGCCGAUGUCGGAUUAGCUAGUUGGCGGGGUAAAGGCCCGCCAAGGCGACGAUCCGUAGCUGGUCUGAGAGGAUGGUCAGCCGCACUGGAACGGAGACACGGUCCAGGCUCCUACGGGAGGCAGCAGUGGGGAAUAUUAGACAAUGGGCGCAAGCCUGAUCCAGCCAUACCGCGUGGGUGAAGGAGACCUUCGGGUUGGAAAGCCCUUUUUUUGGGAAAGAAAAGCAGCAGGUUAAGACCCCGCUGUUCUGACGGUACCCAAAGAAUAAGCACCGGCUAACUUCGUG
This 492-nucleotide ribosomal RNA is filed under the name uncultured bacterium. Its description in RNAcentral is "partial 16S ribosomal RNA". It matches the Rfam family "Bacterial small subunit ribosomal RNA", at positions 29 to 507 of the family's 1533-position model. The record is from RNAcentral.